GUAGGUGAAGUGAUUUACUCAUGGAGCUGAAGUCAGUCGAAGAUACCAGCUGGCUGCAACUGUUUAUUAAAAACACAGCACUGUGCAAACACGAAAGUGGACGUAUACGGUGUGACGCCUGCCCGGUGCCGGAAGGUUAAUUGAUGGGGUCAGCGCAAGCGAAGCUCCUGAUCGAAGCCCCGGUAAACGGCGGCCGUAACUAUAACGGUCCUAAGGUAGCGAAAUUCCUUGUCGGGUAAGUUCCGACCUGCACGAAUGGCGUAAUGAUGGCCAGGCUGUCUCCACCCGAGACUCAGUGAAAUUGAACUCGCUGUGAAGAUGCAGUGUACCCGCGGCAAGACGGAAAGACCCCGUGAACCUUUACUAUAGCUUGACACUGAACAUUGAGCCUUGAUGUGUAGGAUAGGUGGGAGGCUUUGAAGUGUGGACGCCAGUCUGCAUGGAGCCGACCUUGAAAUACCACCCUUUAAUGUUUGAUGUUCUAACGUGGACCCGUAAUCCGGGUUGCGGACAGUGUCUGGUGGGUAGUUUGACUGGGGCGGUCUCCUCCUAAAGAGUAACGGAGGAGCACGAAGGUUGGCUAAUCCUGGUCGGACAUCAGGAGGUUAGUGCAAUGGCAUAAGCCAGCUUGACUGCGAGCGUGACGGCGCGAGCAGGUGCGAAAGCAGGUCAUAGUGAUCCGGUGGUUCUGAAUGGAAGGGCCAUCGCUCAACGGAUAAAAGGUACUCCGGGGAUAACAGGCUGAUACCGCCCAAGAGUUCAUAUCGACGGCGGUGUUUGGCACCUCGAUGUCGGCUCAUCACAUCCUGGGGCUGAAGUAGGUCCCAAGGGUAUGGCUGUUCGCCAUUUAAAGUGGUACGCGAGCUGGGUUUAGAACGUCGUGAGACAGUUCGGUCCCUAUCUGCCGUGGGCGCUGGAGAACUGAGGGGGGCUGCUCCUAGUACGAGAGGACCGGAGUGGACGCAUCACUGGUGUUCGGGUUGUCAUGCCAAUGGCACUGCCCGGUAGCUAAAUGCGGAAGAGAUAAGUGCUGAAAGCAUCUAAGCACGAAACUUGCCCCGAGAUGAGUUCUCCCUGAGACUUAAAGUCUCCUGAAGGAACGUUGAAGACGACGACGUUGAUAGGCCGGGUGUGUAAGCGCAGCGAUGCGUUGAGCUAACCGGUACUAAUGAACCGUGAGGCUUAACCUUACAACGCCGAAG
RNAcentral lists this ribosomal RNA (1202 nucleotides) under Salmonella enterica. RNAcentral describes it as "partial 23S ribosomal RNA". It matches the Rfam family "Bacterial large subunit ribosomal RNA", at positions 1742 to 2925 of the family's 2925-position model. Lineage: Bacteria; Pseudomonadati; Pseudomonadota; Gammaproteobacteria; Enterobacterales; Enterobacteriaceae. The record is from RNAcentral.